Molecule: long non-coding RNA, 1814 nt
Organism: Cololabis saira (Pacific saury)
Lineage: Eukaryota; Metazoa; Chordata; Actinopteri; Beloniformes; Belonidae
Exons: 3
Source: RefSeq, a predicted model, not a curated record
UUACCAAACCAACUUUGGUGGAGUUACCGCUUUGACCAGAGAACAGUUUCAAAAAGUGAAUGGUUUUCCAAACGUGUACUGGGGUUGGGGUGGGGAAGAUGAUGACCUUUACACAAGGGUUCGGCUGCAGAAUAUGACGAUUGUGCGGCCGCCUGCUGAUGUAGCCCGCUAUACCAUGAUGUUUCACAAGGGAGACCCUGGCAAUGAGAAAAACCCAAAUAGGUGGAACCUCUUGGGACAAACAUCUUCUUUGAUGAAAACGGAUGGAAUCAACACCUGCUCAUAUACAACUCUGUCAGUUGAAAGAUGGCCGCUUUAUGUAAAUGUUACUGUGGACAUCGGGAAGCCGUAGAGCUGACCUCUCAAUACAAAACCCUUUUAUUGACCAGAACAAAGUUUUAUAUUUUAUGAAGUCCAAGCCUUUGAGUGCACAAAAAAGCUGUCACAAUCUGAUAUAUAAAACUCACACAAUGCACAUUUUCUUUAUUUAGGUCUUCAAGGUUAAAUCUGAAAUUUUCAAUUCAAUUCAAUUUUAUUUAUAUAGCGUCUAAUACAACAGAGUUGUCUCUAGACGCUUUACAGAGACCCAUACCCAGAACAUGACCCCCGAGCAGUUAUUACAUAAACAAUGGCAGGUAAAAACUCCCCUAGUGGGAGAAAAACCUUAAGCCAAACAGUGGCAAGGAAAAACUCCCCUUUAGGAGGGAAGAAACCUUGAGCAGGACCAGGCUCAUAAGGGGGGACCCUCCUGCCGAGGGCCAGACUGGUGGGUCAGGGACGGCAACAGCACAGCAGGCAGGUGGAAGCAGCAACGGGAUGACCAGGGGUGGGGACCGCAGGCCAGCACGAAAUUCAACAUUUUAGUUCACCUCCACUUCUGGUUUCCACCUUAAAGGGAAAAUGUUUAUACUGUGGAUACGGAAAGUAUUCAGACUCCUUUAAAUUUCCCCCUCUCCGUUUCAUUGCAGCGAUUUGCUAAAAUCAAGUUCAUUUUUUAUUUCUCAUUAAUGCAGACUCAGAACCCCAUCUUUACAGAAAAAAGCAGAAAUGUAGAAAUUUCUUACGAGUGUUUCAUUAGCCUGAAAUAUUGACCAUAAACGGCAUCAAUCAGUAAUCGGCUUUACUGUUGUCUAAAAAUUCACAUUGGCCAUGGAAAACCUUUAAUAAUGACCAAGAAAAGUUAUUGAGUACACAAUCUGAACAAUUAUUGUGAUCAAUUUGUCAUUGAAAGUAAUGAGUUGUUGGGAUGAAGAGUUUAGGAUCACUUGGCAAAGAUGCAAAGUCAUAGUCUUAAGCAUGUUUACAUUAGUGUGGGAUGAUCUUUUAUGUUUUGAUAUUCGUGGAGGACCAGACUGGUGGGUUAUCUUCCUCUCGGCCCACCAUAUUGACUUGUUUCUUCCACAGAAGAGACAAAUGAAACGCUUGUUCAGUUGGGGCGCCUUGAACAGUUUCAGUAGUCAGAGAAGUUUCUCCUGCAUGACUGGAGGUGGAAGAUGCAUCAGGUGGUUAAGCAAUGGGAUAUGGCAAAAUUGAUGGAAGAGCAACAGGCUGGGAGACAUGCUAUGGGAAGAGGGAAAUAGUGGAUUUCUUUUUGUAACAGGGUUUUUCCUCUUAAGAACAUCUAUAAUAAAUGCUAAAUUGUUCUUAUAAGCUGUCUUGUGACUUUAUGUGGUAUUGUUCUGCUUGUUCCACAAUAUCAUCAGGAAAUUAAUACAUUAUCUGUCUCAGUCAGCACUGGCAGCAAUCAUCUAUGCCAGUAUAAAUCUGUAUCUUAUUCUAAACUGUAUCUCUGCUUUAGUCCUGCAAUUCACUUA